This 402-nucleotide ribosomal RNA is filed under the name uncultured bacterium. Its description in RNAcentral is "bacterial SSU rRNA". It matches the Rfam family "Bacterial small subunit ribosomal RNA", at positions 355 to 774 of the family's 1533-position model. The record is from RNAcentral.
UCGGGAAUUUUGGGCAAUGGGCGAAAGCCUGACCCAGCAACGCCGCAUGAGGGAUGAAGUAUUUCGGUAUGUAAACCUCGAAAGAAUGGGAAGAAUAAAUGACGGUACCAUUUAUAAGCUCCGGCUAACUACGUGCCAGCAGCCGCGGUAAUACGUAGGGAGCAAGCGUUGUUCGGAUUUACUGGGCGUAAAGGGCGCGUAGGCGGCGCGGUAAGUCACUUGUGAAAUCUCUGAGCUUAACUCAGAACGGCCAAGUGAUACUGCUGUGCUAGAGUGCGGAAGAGGCAACCGGAAUUCUUGGUGUAGCGGUGAAAUGCGUAGGUAUCAAGAGGAACACCUGAGGCGAAGGCGGGUUGCUGAGCCGACACUGACGCUGAUGCGCGAAAGCCAGGGGAGCAAACG